This 547-nucleotide ribosomal RNA is filed under the name uncultured Thelebolales. RNAcentral describes it as "eukaryotic LSU rRNA". The stretch from base 184 to 337 matches the Rfam family "5.8S ribosomal RNA". The record is from RNAcentral. Lineage: Eukaryota; Fungi; Ascomycota; Leotiomycetes; Thelebolales.
GUGACCUGCGGAGGAUCAUUAAAGAGACGUUGCCCUUCGGGGUAUACCUCCCACCCAUUGUUUAUUAUACCUUUGUUGCUUUGGCAGACCCGGCUUCGGCCCACCGGCUCCGGCUGGUCAGUGUCUGCCAGAGGACCUAAAACUCUGCUUGUUAAUAUUGUCUGAGUACUAUAUAAUAGUUAAAACUUUCAACAACGGAUCUCUUGGUUCUGGCAUCGAUGAAGAACGCAGCGAAAUGCGAUAAGUAAUGUGAAUUGCAGAAUUCAGUGAAUCAUCGAAUCUUUGAACGCACAUUGCGCCCUCUGGUAUUCCGGGGGGCAUGCCUGUUCGAGCGUCAUUACAACCCUCAAGCUUUGCUUGGUAUCGGACAUUGCCAGUUUCUGGCAGGUCUUAAAAUCAGUGGCGGUGCCAUUUGGCUUCAAGCGUAGUAAUUCUUCUCGCUUUGGAGAUCCAGGUGGUUACUUGCCAAUAACCCCCAAUUUUUUCAGGUUGACCUCGGAUCAGGUAGGGAUACCCGCUGAACUUAAGCAUAUCAAUAAGCGGAGGA